CACGUAGGGGACAAGCGUUGUCCGGAUUUACUGGGCGUAAAGAGCGCGCAGGCGGUCGAUCAAGUCGAGUGUGAAAGCCCCCGGCUCAACUGGGGAGGGUCAUUCGAUACUGAUCGACUCGAAGGCAGGAGAGGGUAGUGGAAUUCCCGGUGUAGUGGUGAAAUGCGUAGAUAUCGGGAGGAACACCAGUGGCGAAGGCGACUACCUGGCCUGUUCUUGACGCUGAGGCGCGAAAGCUAGGGGAGCAAACGGG
RNAcentral lists this ribosomal RNA (253 nucleotides) under uncultured bacterium. Its description in RNAcentral is "partial 16S ribosomal RNA". It matches the Rfam family "Bacterial small subunit ribosomal RNA", at positions 524 to 776 of the family's 1533-position model. The record is from RNAcentral.